UACGUAGGUGGCAAGCGUUGUCCGGAUUUAUUGGGCGUAAAGGGCGCGCAGGCGGUUCGUUAAGUUCGAGGUGAAAUCUCCUGGCUCAACUGGGAGGGGUCUUCGGAUACUGGCGGACUUGAGGAGAGCAGAGGUGAGUGGAAUUCUGGGUGUAGUGGUGAAAUGCGUAGAUAUCCAGAGGAACACCAGUGGCGAAGGCGACUCACUGGGCUCCACCUGACGCUGAGGCGCGAAAGUGUGGGGAGCGAACCGGA
RNAcentral lists this ribosomal RNA (254 nucleotides) under uncultured prokaryote. RNAcentral describes it as "partial 16S ribosomal RNA". It matches the Rfam family "Bacterial small subunit ribosomal RNA", at positions 524 to 777 of the family's 1533-position model. The record is from RNAcentral.